Molecule: ribosomal RNA, 253 nt
Filed under: uncultured bacterium
Lineage: Bacteria
Description: partial 16S ribosomal RNA
Rfam family: Bacterial small subunit ribosomal RNA
Source: RNAcentral
GACAGAGGAUGCAAGUGUUAUCCGGAAUCACUGGGCGUAAAGCGUCUGCAGGUGGUUUCCUAAGUCCACUGUUAAACCUUGAGGCUCAACCUCAAAUCUGCAUUGGAAACUAGGAGACUUGAGUAUAGUAGGGGUAGAGGGAAUUUCCAGUGGAGCGGUGAAAUGCGUAGAUAUUGGAAAGAACACCGAUGGCGAAGGCACUCUACUGGGCUAUUACUGACACUCAGAGACGAAAGCUAGGGGAGCAAAUGGG